RNAcentral lists this ribosomal RNA (599 nucleotides) under bacterium enrichment culture clone F56x_A11_T3-_A11. RNAcentral describes it as "bacterial SSU rRNA". It matches the Rfam family "Bacterial small subunit ribosomal RNA", at positions 24 to 606 of the family's 1533-position model. The record is from RNAcentral.
UCAGGACGAACGCUGGCGGCGUGCCUAAUACAUGCAAGUCGAGCGAAUCGAUGGGAGCUUGCUCCCUGAGAUUAGCGGCGGACGGGUGAGUAACACGUGGGCAACCUGCCUAUAAGACUGGGAUAACUUCGGGAAACCGGAGCUAAUACCGGAUACGUUCUUUUCUCGCAUGAGAGAAGAUGGAAAGACGGUUUACGCUGUCACUUAUAGAUGGGCCCGCGGCGCAUUAGCUAGUUGGUGAGGUAAUGGCUCACCAAGGCGACGAUGCGUAGCCGACCUGAGAGGGUGAUCGGCCACACUGGGACUGAGACACGGCCCAGACUCCUACGGGAGGCAGCAGUAGGGAAUCUUCCGCAAUGGGCGAAAGCCUGACGGAGCAACGCCGCGUGAGUGAUGAAGGUUUUCGGAUCGUAAAGCUCUGUUGCCAAGGAAGAACGUCUUCUAGAGUAACUGCUAGGAGAGUGACGGUACUUGAGAAGAAAGCCCCGGCUAACUACGUGCCAGCAGCCGCGGUAAUACGUAGGGGGCAAGCGUUGUCCGGAAUUAUUGGGCGUAAAGCGCGCGCAGGCGGUUCUUUAAGUCUGGUGUUUAAACCCGAG